ACUUAAGUAGUUUAAAUUGAUUAAAAUUUUAAUUUGUGGAGUUAAAGAUGCAAGUUUUUGCUUUAGGUA
This 69-nucleotide transfer RNA is filed under the name Ips hauseri. RNAcentral describes it as "tRNA-His". The record is from RNAcentral. Lineage: Eukaryota; Metazoa; Arthropoda; Insecta; Coleoptera; Curculionidae.